Molecule: ribosomal RNA, 465 nt
Filed under: Vreelandella stevensii
Lineage: Bacteria; Pseudomonadati; Pseudomonadota; Gammaproteobacteria; Oceanospirillales; Halomonadaceae
Description: partial 16S ribosomal RNA
Rfam family: Bacterial small subunit ribosomal RNA
Source: RNAcentral
CCUACGGGGGGCAGCAGUGGGGAAUAUUGGACAAUGGGGGGAACCCUGAUCCAGCCAUGCCGCGUGUGUGAAGAAGGCCCUCGGGUUGUAAAGCACUUUCAGUGAGGAAGAACGCCUGGUGGUUAAUACCCAUCAGGAAAGACAUCACUCACAGAAGAAGCACCGGCUAACUCCGUGCCAGCAGCCGCGGUAAUACGGAGGGUGCGAGCGUUAAUCGGAAUUACUGGGCGUAAAGCGCGCGUAGGUGGCUUGAUAAGCCGGUUGUGAAAGCCCCGGGCUCAACCUGGGAACGGCAUCCGGAACUGUCAAGCUAGAGAGCAGGAGAGGAAGGUAGAAUUCCCGGUGUAGCGGUGAAAUGCGUAGAGAUCGGGAGGAAUACCAGUGGCGAAGGCGGCCUUCUGGACUGACACUGACACUGAGGUGCGAGAGCGUGGGUAGCAAACAGGAUUAGAUACCCGUGUAGGC